This 317-nucleotide unclassified non-coding RNA is filed under the name plant metagenome. RNAcentral's name for it is "partial contains 5.8S ribosomal RNA, internal transcribed spacer 2, and large subunit ribosomal RNA". The stretch from base 1 to 106 matches the Rfam family "5.8S ribosomal RNA", at positions 49 to 154 of the family's 154-position model. The record is from RNAcentral.
CGAAAUGCGAUAACUAGUGUGAAUUGCAGAAUUCCGUGAAUCAUCGAGUCUUUGAACGCACAUUGCGCCCCCUGGUAUUCCGGGGGGCAUGCCUGUCCGAGCGUCAUUGCUGCCCAUCAAGCACGGCUUGUGUGUUGGGUCGUCGUCCCCUCUCCGGGGGGGACGGGCCCCAAAGGCAGCGGCGGCACCGCGUCCGAUCCUCGAGCGUAUGGGGCUUUGUCACCCGCUCUGUAGGCCCGGCCGGCGCUUACCGAACGCAAAUCAAUCUUUUUCCAGGUUGACCUCGGAUCAGGUAGGGAUACCCGCUGAACUUAAGC